RNAcentral lists this ribosomal RNA (301 nucleotides) under uncultured bacterium. RNAcentral's name for it is "partial 16S ribosomal RNA". It matches the Rfam family "Bacterial small subunit ribosomal RNA", at positions 509 to 807 of the family's 1533-position model. The record is from RNAcentral.
CAGCCGCCGCGGUAAUACGAGGGGGGCAAGCGUUGUUCGGAAUUAUUGGGCGUAAAGGGUGCGUAGGCGGUUUGAUAAGUCAUCUGUGAAAUCUCUGGGCUCAACCCAGAGUCUGCAGGCGAAACUGUCGGGCUUGAGUGAGGAAGAGGGUUGUGGAAUUCCCAGUGUAGAGGUGAAAUUCGUAGAUAUUGGGAAGAACACCGGUGGCGAAGGCGGCAACCUGGUCCUUGACUGACGCUGAGGCGCGAAAGCGUGGGGAGCAACCAGGAUUAGAUACCCCAGUAGUCCCUGUCUCUUAUAC